AACAAAAACCAUAGAAAAACAAAAUCUUCCAAGGCGGCACCUCAAGAACAGGAUGACAACGAUGGAGAACAUCGCAGAGGCGUCACCGUCCUCUUACCCAAAACUUCAAAAAAUUAAAACCCCACCUAAAUAACCAAGGUUAAACAAGAAUCUACCAACCGUUUUCAAAAGUAACCAACCAAACUCAUAGAUCGGAGUUCACAUGACACAAAUCCUAACUUGUUCAAAUAACACCAAAUCAACAAUAUCAAAUGGGAAAUCAGCCAUUCACACAAACAUCAUCAAAAAAGGCAAAAAUGACGAGAAGUGUAACAAAAAACGACCUUGUCGGAGACUUAAAAUCCGACGAGAAACUCUGGUGCAAGAAAUAACUCAGGUACGUAAAUUCUUUAUAUCCUCGUUCUUCCUUGUUUCCUGCUCGCCUUGACUCCUUCUUCUACUGUCUUCUGAAUGUUAUGUGUUUAAAUAUUGAUUUUUUUUAUGAAAUAAGGGGUCUUAGCUCAUCCCUAAUCAAACUUCAAUAUGAAGUUUAGAGAGCCUUUCUUAGAGUAUGAGCUUUGAGUGAGGGGUCAGUUUUGAAUUCUGCAGAGUUUUAGUGUUUUUUUUGUUCAUCAAAAUGAGUGAAGGAGAGGCACUGUUUUUGAUGCUUGAUCAUGCUAUAUAUAAAAUAUAGUCUAUCGGGUACUUGACUGCAAGUGCACAGUCCAGUCGCUUUAGUUUUAAAAGAUAUCGAUCCCACAGGGACCUAUGGUCAAACUAGUGUUACUAACGUCACUAUGUUUACUGCAAGUGCACAGUCCAGUCGCUUUAGUUUUAAAAGAUAUCGAUCCCACAGGGACCUAUGGUCAAACUAGUGUUACUAACGUCACUAUGUUUAGCUAAGGGAAUGAUUAGUAGAAGUUCGGGUGCAUAAUAUUAAAUCUAAGGGAAAUUUAGUUUUAAGAAAGAAUUGAUGGAAGGAACCAGUAUGCAACGCAUUAAUUGUCAGAGAUUCGAUAAGUCAUCGGUGAAUAGUUUAAAUGCCAAAUAUCUCUUAGUAGAAAAUAUUUAUUUAAAAAGCUUUAUCUCACACUCUCGUGAUUGUUGAUUCGGCCUAUAGUUUUAAGUCAGAAUGUACGCUCUCGCUGUUCCAUUUGAAGUUAAAAUUACUUUUUGAAAAUAAAUAAGUUCUAAUUGCUUUUAAAGUGCUCUCGCUGUUUUUAAACUCAACGCCUAAUUUUUACUAUCUAGCUCGAGCCUCACGCUCUCGCGAUUGCUGGUUCUCACCUUAGUUAAUUUCCCACUCUCGUGGCAAAAUCGUAUUAAAUAGCUUCUCACGCUUUUGUGAUAAAGUUAAUUAAAUUUAGAUUAAAAACUUCAGCCUAAAAGAUUGUUUGAGAAAAAGAAUUUCCAACGAUUAUUAUUAAAUCCCAUCUAAUUAAAUUGCUACAUACCGAUACCGGUAAUUUAGCCGGACAUGUUAAAUAAGGCAAACACAGAGCAUAAACAGAUCAACAUUGCGGCAAACAUAAUUAUAAUAAUAACUAGGCAAUAAUAAUAAUAAUCUAAUAAAAAUCUGGCAAUCGAAGUAAUAGAGUAUAACGAAUCUCGGAGUACUUGAGCAGUCCUCCACAAGUCGGUAGGCUUCUGCUUCUUCAAUACAAAUUUCUUACUAAUUUAAAUAAAGUGUAGUAGUUCCCCAGUGUAGGAAACUACUACUAUGGCUAACUGGAAAACGGGAAGGAAAAGAGAAAACGGGAAUUCUAAAAAAAAAUGAAAAAUGAACUAAGGCAACGGAAACAAAGUUGCUGAAAAGAAAAUAACUAAAAAGCUAGAAUGCUGUAAAAAUUAAUUGUAGAGCGUAAGUGUAGAUGUUCCAUUUUUUCCAACUUUUGUCCUUUAUAUAUUGCCUUGGUAGGUCUUGGCGGUUGAGAAAUUUAAGGAAGAUUGGUUGAAUGAGGAAUCCACGGGGGAGUCUUGCUGUUGGAGAGAAUUUAGGCACGUUUGGGUGCCUCUGGCUGACUGUUUCAAAGCGUAAAAUCUGGCCGUAUGACGUUCGUCAUGGGCCUGUGACGGUCGUCACAGGCUGGAUCGUGACGGUCGUCAUGAAGCUUGUGACGGUCGUCACAACAACAAUUUCUGCAUUCUGGUUUUCUGCUUUCUCCUGUGCUUUCUCAUCUGUUUCUUCUUCUUUUUCUUCCUUUUCUUCAUUUUGCUCAUUAAUGCUUGGAGAUUUAAAUACCUGGAAAAACAACUCGAAUACUUAUGGAAUAAUCAGAAUAUUAAUCAAAGUGGUAUGACCUUUGAGUGUAAAUCAAGGCAAAUAUCUGAUGUAUUUUCGCGUUAUCAAACUCCCCUAAACUUGAAUCUUUGCUUGUCGUCAAGGAAAUACAAUUUGAAAACAAAGUUAAACGCGAAUACAUUACCCAUUCGUAUGUGGCUGUCAGGUGGAUCGUUAAGAUGGCCGAUAGUCAAGUAAAACACUAAAGAUACUGUGACGACACAAGCAUUAAGCAUUAGCGUAGAUCUCUCCUUUGCACAAGCCAGUUCGAAUCUUGCUAUUAUAGCUCAACCUAGUGUGUCUCGUUCCUAUUUCACCCGGUUUCAUUCUAGCGCAAUCACAUUAAGCCCUUUGCCUCCGCACGCAUUUAGUGAAGUAGCCGGUUAGUGACUUUGAUCCUUUUCUUGGCACGGGGGUCUGGUACAUUAGUGCGGUACCCCUUUAUAUAUCCCCUUUUUAAAGGUUGUGGGGGAUCGAGCGUAGUUCGCCCUACCGAGUCCAGUACCAGGUACCUCUGGACCAACCAACUGGGGUUUCUGUUCCUUCUUUUUGUAUAUUUUUGCAACCUUUUGUAUGUAUCGUUUAUCAAUUUCUUGAUAGCAACAAUAUGAAGGAAUUUCUUAAUUUGUAGGCAUCAAACACUUAUAUUCAUCGGCUCUCCACGUGGUUUGUGCUUUAGACGGUGCUGACUGCUAGUAUAAACUACUAGGGGUUAAUCUAGAAUGGAGACUUAAGGUGUCGAUAUAAUGGUUACUCAAACUAAUCUCGUAGAAAUGAGGGAUCUAGGGUGUCAGGGUGGUAUCAAUCUUGUUAGAUCUUUCUCAGUUUUCCUAACAAAACCUCUGCAAGACAACCUAUAUACUCAUAGGGUAUGCAUUUUAAGCUUAAGGAAAAAAAAAUUGUUAUGCCAAAAUAUGUAUAAAUGAUCGAUAAGGACAAACAAGCUGAAAAUACUAACAAUAGAAACAAGUAGAUGAGUGAUAAGGAUUUCCUCCCACAUUUAAUCAAUGCAUUAUCCUCAAUGCGACAAUAUACAUAAUAAAAAGAAAUAAAGAAAUGUCACUACUCGUCGUUACGUUGUUGGCUUCUGCGUGCUCUGGCUCUUGCUCUUGCGCGCUCACCUCUUCCCUGCUAGGUAGGAUCCAACCCUACAUGCUGAGUGUACUCCUGGAUGGCAUCUAUGCGAUAAGUUAGGGAACUCAUCUGGUCUGAAAGCUCCAUCAUCCCCUGAUCAUGCCAGUUAGCAUAAUCGUGUUGGUCCCACUGUAUUUGCUGGAUCGCUUGCAUCAUUUCCGUUUGGCGUUCUUCCAUUCUUUGGUUGUGUCGCAGCAUCUCGGCGUAGAUGUUUUCCAUGGAGGCGGGUCUUUGCUCGCUUCUUCGCUAUCCUCGGGAAGAUGUCUCUGCAGCGUGCUCUUGAGGUGGUUGAGGCAUGCCUCGGUCAAGCUCCUCCUCGACUUCAUCUGCUCCAUUACCAGGAUUUCCUUCAUUUGCCUCGGGGGCAUCCAGAUCAAAAAUCCAAUUUGCCAUAUCUUUCAGAUCUGUGCGGUUCCUGUUUGGCAUGAUGAUGCUUCGAACUACCUUGUUUCUGACAACAAGAUGGUACUUCCCGUCAUCUCUUGCUUUGAUCAGGUAGCACGACAAUAGUCGAUGUCGAGGAAUUCUGCUGGCAAAGCUGGCAAGUUGGCGAGCCUAUCUCCCAGAUUCAAGCCUAAUGCUAUGGAGGUGAUGAUUCCCCCAAAACAAAAUGCCUGGCUGCCUCUCAUGCACGCAGCCUGGAUGUUGGCUAGUAGGAAAGGAGUGACAUUGAACGCAAUUGGGGAAAACACACAGUGAAAAAGGAAAAGUUCCUUGGAGUUUACCUUAUGAUUGCUGACUCUUCCAAAAACUGUGUGCCCCAGGACUCGGUGGAAAUAUCUAAUGGCUGGGUUGUGAAUAUAUGUUGCGUUAAGCGUAUCCCAGCUCAGUUUACCUUAUGAUUGCUGACUCUUCCAAAAACUGUGUGCCCCAGGACUCGGUGGAAAUAUCUAAUGGCUGGGUUGUGAAUAUAUGUUGCGUUAAGCGUAUCCCAGCUCGUGGCGUUCAUGUUGGUGAGGUUGUGCCAAACUUGAAAUGCUAUCUCUGACCAUCCGUCAGGGAUACAUCAUUGAAUUCCUUCUCCAUGUCGAAAACCAAGCAUUCACGCUAUCUGGGUUUGAUUUAGGGAAUACUCGGUGCCGAACAUUCUAAAUGUGGCGACUCCGAUGAGAUACUGAGUUGCGCCAGGGGGUGUAAUAUAGGAGUAGGAACUCAGAAAUUCCAGGGUCAGCGUUUCGUAGAUUGGUUGCGAUGUGGUACACAGUUGCGUCAAGCUGGAGUUUGUUAGCAUCCACUCCACGCCCUCCAAAAGUCCUAGCUCCGUCAGGAAUUCAAUAUCAACAUACCUCGUGGCUUGUAUUGAGCGUUGGUAGAACUUGAGGUAAUUGUCUCUUUGGCGUUCGCCGGCUUCUCCAUUUCUGAAUACGACGGUUGAGAGGUCGGGAGUAGCUAUUUCUUGACGGGCCAUUGAUACGGUUUAUGAAACUUUUAGUGUUGGUGGGUGAGAUGGAAUAUUGUGAGUUACACGCUUGAAAAAAAUGUAAAGAACUGAAUAAUGGAGAGCAGAAUAGUAUGAGUGUGGUGAUUGAUGAGGAAGAAGAGAGGAAGAGUGCCUGCAUUUAUAGGCGAGCUCUCUGGAUUUCGUGACGAUCGUCAUAGGGGUGUGACGGUCGUCACGCGCAACGGGUGCGUAAUGGUCGUCUGCAAUGGUCAGAUGCUCGUAACAGUCAUUUUCAUGUCGUGUGACGAUCGUGGUAGAUCCGUGACGGUCGUCACGUCUGUGAGAUGAGCGUCACACUAUAUGUGACGAUCGUCACACGCUGAUUUUCAAUUUUCUCAUCAAAGGUUGUAGUAGUUUUAAUUUCAGUAGCAUAUGAUAACAGUAUAAUAUGAUAACUAAGCAAUUGAAUUUAAAAGCAUAAAUGAAUAGAUAAAUAAAUAUAGAAGCAUAAAUAAAUGAAUAACAAUGUUAUUGAAUUAAUAGAUUGAAAUUAAAUGUAACAUAAGAAAAAAUAAUUACGAUAGCAGAGCAAAAAGUAAUAAAAUAAUUAACCAAAAGUAAUAAAAUAAAUGUGCUCCCUCCCCAUACAAAACAAAGCAGUGUCCUCAUUGCUUAAUGCGAGUAGGAGAAAUCAGUGGUCAGUAGUAUUAGCCACGGUUUUGUCCCAAUGCAGCUACAACCUGGUUCAGGUGAUGAAACUGCUCGACGACUAUAUCCAUAAGGCCUAAGAUAUCAAAGCGCAUGAUCUUUAUCUCUUCUUUCACAAUUGUGAUGUCAGCUUGGAAAUCAUUCAGACGGGUCAGAAGCAUGGCAAGAUUAUCAGCAUAUGAUGGAGGAACCGGUUCAUCAAUGUUAUAGUAGUUGGGAGGUGUUUCAGGGUCAGAUUCUUCCACAUGGAUAAGGUCAUUGAUAUACUCAUAUUUAGGCGGUGUCUCGGGAGGUGAAGGUGGAUCAGUAGGGUGUUCAUCUAAGUCAUAAAGCCAGCUAUUACGGUUGUGAACACUCGUUCUCUCAUGGUUAGGCAAGGUAAAUAGUCGGACCACUUCGUUAUUGAUUAAAUAAUCAAAGGUAUCCGGCCCAAGGUUUCAUAUGAUUCUACGAUCAAAGCAAAUAUCGAUAUCCAUGGGUCGGAUGUUUCCAAAUGGUACAUGCUCGUAAAGUGGGCGUCUAAGUCCGAUGGUGUCUGCUAUCAUGGUUACUAGGCCACCUAUAAUUAUUGGGGUACGAUUAUUCUUAGCAAGGUGAACAAAUAUCUCCAUCAUGAAUGUCACAAUAUUGACAUGUCGACCUUGAUCGACACAUAACAAGAUGAAAAGUUCAUCGCGGGACACUAUGGUGUUGUUCUCUUCCUAACCAAAUAGGGUGUGGGCCAGUAUUUUAUGGAAGUAGCGGAUAGCAGGGUUAUAGAUCAUUUGUGAGUGCAUCUCAUUCGGGUUAGGGUUGGAUUCUCCAUUUAAGCUACCCCAAAAGUCAUCUAGGUCAAUGUCAUCGAUUAGUUCCUCCUGGCGGGUAGUAAAAACGAAAGGGCCACUAGGAAAUCCUAGGAGGUCAGCAAGGUCUCGACGGCAAUAGGUGAAGUCCAUGCUAAACAGCCUAAAGGAUAUCAACCCUUUGUUAAGUCCAUAACCAUGCUCGGGAUUGUAAAUCAGGGAGCUAAGGAAUUCUAAGGUUAAUUCACGGUAAGUGACAAACCGUCUCUUAAUAGCUGCAUUCUCCCACCCUAGCUGGUUAAACAUAAAUAGGAUGCUAUCUCGGAUACCUAACUUAUCCAUGGUAGGUCCAUCAUAAUAAAUCGAUAAUGCCAUAUCCUUCAGAGAUAGAUAAUCAUACUGCCUUCUCUGAACUCUGCCUCUGAAAACGGUAUCUACUUGUUGCAUGAUGAAAGUAAGUAACUAACUAGUUAGUAAUUUUCCUGUUUAUCAGUAUCCAAUAUGUCCAAGUUAGUAACUAGAAGCAACAAGAAUGACUGCAAAGAAUCAAGAAGAGGGGAGCAAAAGAUAAAGAAGAAAAUCAAAGAAGGAAAAUAGUUUGUAGCAAAGAUAACAAAAAAGGUGGAUUGUCUCCCACUAAGCACUUUGUUUAAUGUCGUAAGUUCGACAGUAGCGUCACGGUGUACUAGGCUUGGGUUUGAGCGGGAAACUCUAUGAGUCUGAGACUGUUCGAAUAGUCUCUAUUUUCAAUAUUAUGAUAAUGCUUUAAUCGCUGCCCGUUUACUAUAAAACCAAGUGAUAAGGAUGGAAAAUAAAGAUAGCGUGGCGAAAACUGGACUUUGGUGAUCUCGAAAGGGCCGGACCACCUAGAUUUAAGUUUUCCUGGAAAAAGUUUAAGUCUUGAAUUGAAUAGUAGCAUUAUGUCGCCGGCAUUAAACUCCUUCCUAGAAAUGCGUUUGUCAUGCCAUUUUUUGGUUCGCUCUUUGUAUAUCCUGGCAUUCUCAUAGGCGUCUAGUCUUAGCUCUUCCAAUUUGUGAAUGUCCAGAAUUCGUUUCUCGCCUGCGGAAGUGUAGUUUAUAUUUAGGGUCUUAAUCGCCCAAUAUGCUUUGUGUUCUAAUUCCACAGGGAGAUGACAGGAUUUACCAUAGACUAGUUUAAAGGGUGUGGUUCCUAUUGGGGUUUUGUAAGCCGUCCUAUAGGCCCACAACGUUUCGUUUAGUUUAGAUGACCAGUCUUUUCUGGAUAUUCCUACAGUCUUCUCUAGAAUUUGUUUGAUUUCUCGAUUCGAGACUUCGACUUGCCCGCUAGUUUGUGGGUGAUAAGGUGUUGCUACACGGUGUCGGACUCCAGACUUCAGAAGCAGUUUUCCAAAGAUAUUCGAUAUGAAGUGGGAGCCACCGUCAUUAACUACUAGUUUUGGCACACCUAAUCUAGGAAAUAUGAUGUUCUUGAAUAACUUAAUCACUACUCGUGUGUCGUUUGUCGGAGAGGCUACAACCUCGAUCCAUUUUGAAACCUAGUCGACAUCAACGAGUAUGUACUUAUUACCAAAAGAAGAUGGGAAUGGUCCCAUGAAGUCAAUCCCCCGUACAUCGAAGACUUCUACUUCUAAGAUUCCUGUUUGUGGCAUUUCAUUGCGUCUUGAGAUGUUGCCAGUGUGUUGGCACCGGUCGCAUUUUAUAACCGCGUUAUGGACAUCUUUCCAUAGAGUGGGCCAAAAGAGGCCUGAUUGCAGGAUCUUAGUACAUGUCUUUGAGGUACUUGCAUGCCCUCCAUAGGGAGCGGAAUGGCAAUGAGAGAUUAUAUCAUCUAUUUCAUCCUCAGGAACACAUCGACGGAAGAUACCGUCGGGACCUCUUUUGAAGAGCAGAGGUUCAUCCCAGUAGUAUUGUUUUAGAUCGUGAAAGAAUUUCUUCUUUUGUUGGUAAGAUAGGUCCGGUGGAAGUACUCCGACAACUAGGUAGUUGACAAAAUCAACAUACCAUGGCAGAGUUGCAUUCGCAUGUAUUUCUUUUACGGAUUCUUCUAUUUCUGUAUCGUUUAAUGUUAGUUCAGACAUAUCGCUUUCCAUUUGGGCUAUGAUUCGUUCGUAAGGGAAAUCGUCAUUAAUUGGAAUUGGUUCAAGUUUAUUCCCUUCGAUUCGUGAUAAAUGGUCUGCUACUACGUUUUCAGUACCUUUCUUAUCUUUUAUCUCUAAGUCAAAUUCUUGUAAGAGCAGGGUCCAUCUUAAAAGUCUUGGUUUGGCAUCCUUCUUACUUAACAGAUAUCUAAUAGCGGCGUGGUCGGUAUAGAUGAUAAUUUUCGCCCCUACUAGGUAGGAACGGAAUUUGUCCAAGGCGAACACGACGGCUAGAAGUUCUUUUUCAGUGGUGGCGUAGUUCAUUUGGACUGGAUCUAACGUUCUACUUGCAUAAUAAAUAGCAUGAAGCUUCUUAUCCUUUCUUUGUCCUAGUACUGCGCCUACUACGUAAUCACCCGCAUCACACAUGAUUUCGAAAGGUAAUCUCCAGUCAGGUGGUUGCACAAUGGGUGCGAUGAUUAAAGAUGUUUUUAGUUGGUUGAACACUGUUAAAAAUUUUUCAUCAAAGAUGAAAUCAACGUCCUUCAUUAAUAAACCCGUAAGUGGCUUGUUAAUUUUCGAGAAAUCUUUAAUGAAACGUCGGUAGAAACCGGCGUGUCCUAAAAAGCUUCGUAUUUCUCGAACGGUUUUCGGAGGUUGAAGGUUCUCUAGGAUUUCGAUCUUAGCUUUGUCUAUUUCAAUUCCUCUGUCAGAUACCACGUGACCUAAUACGAUUCCUUGUUGAACCAUGAAAUGGAAUUUCUCCCAUUUUAAAACGAGGUUUACCUUUACGCAUCUUUCGAGUACCAUUUCAAGGUUUGAUAGACAUCCUUCAAAACUCUGCCCACAAACAAAAAAAUCAUCCAUAAAGACUUCCAUGAUGUCGUCUAUAAAAUCGGCGAAGAUCGCCAUCAUGCAUCUUUGAAAUGUUGCGGGAGCGUUGUAUAAUCCAAAUGGCAUUCGUCGGUAGGCGAAUGUACCAUAAGGGCAUGUGAAGGUAGUAUUUUCUUGGUCGUCAGGAUGGAUUGGGAUUUGAAAGAAUCCUGAAUAACCGUCUAGAUAGCAGAAGUGAGAAUGCUUAGCCAAUCGUUCAAGCAUUUGGUCAAUGAAGGGUAAAGGGAAAUGAUCUUUCCGAGUGGCUUUGUUUAGUUUUCUAUAGUCGAUGCACAUUCUACUUCCGGUCACAACUCUUUGUGCUAUAGAUUCUCCCUUCUCGUUCUUAACAACUGUAACACCCCCUUUCUUGGGUACUACAUGAACGGGGCUAACCCAUUGACUAUCGGAGAUCGGGUAUAUGAUUCCAGCAUCUAGAAGUUUCUUUACUUCAUCCUUGAAUCUUGGGUACUACAUGAACGGGGCUAACCCAUUGACUAUCGGAGAUCGGGUAUAUGAUUCCAGCAUCUAGAAGUUUCUUUACUUCAUCCUUGACUACCGUACUUAGGAUUGGGUUGAUCCUUCUCUGUUGUUCUCUAGAGGUUUUACAAUCUUCCUCUAGCAUAAUGCGAUGCAUACAGAUAGAAGAACUUAUUCCUUUUAGAUCGGCGAUGUUAUAUCCUAACGCAGUUGGAUAUUUUCUUAGAACAUCUAGUAAUUUCUCAGUUUCCAUCUGUCCCAAGUCAGCAUUAACUAUUACUGGUCUUUUCAGUUCAGUGUCUAGGAAUUCGUAUCUUAGGUUCUUUGGUAGUGCUUUUAAUUCCAAGUUAGGUUUCUUUGGGCAUGGCAUGUAGUUGGGUGUAAGUGCUAAACACUCGCUUAGACUUUCGUUUUGGUAUGGUUCAUGCCAAUUAUCGUCUUCAAGGAUUGGAGGGAUUUGGAUUUUCAUUAUAUCAGAGUAUGUGGUUUCUUGCAUCUCCAUCUCUCUCACGCACUCGUCUAUGACAUCAAGUAGAUAACAGGUAUCAUCUAUAGCUGGCGCUUGUAAGAAUUGGGUCAAGAUGAUUUCAACCUUUUCCUCUCCAACUUCGAAUGUUAGCUUACCUCUCUUUACGUUUAUUAUGGCUCCAACGGUAUCCAAGAAUGACCUUCCUAGUAUGAUAGGUGUACUGGAAUCUUCUUUGAUGUCCAUGAUUAUGAAGUCUGUAGGAAUGUAAAAUUGUCCUACACGUAUUGGAUAUUUGAUUGAGUGGUCAGCUAAUUGAACAGACAUCUUGGUUGAUCUUAAUUCUCCCAUACUGAGCCUUUUACAGAUGGUUAAGGGCAUUAGACUAAUGUUGGCUCCUAGAUCGCAUAGAGCUUUGUCUAUGCCGAAUUCUCCAAUGACAUAGGGUAUGGAAAAACUACCCGGGUCUUUUAGUUUGGGAGGCAUGUUAUUCUGGAUUAUUGCGCUACACUCUGCAGUAAGUGUAACUGUUUCGUUAUCCUCAAUCUUUUUCUUAUUGAAUAGGAUUUCCUUAAGAAAUUUGGCAUAGGAGGGCAUUUGUGUGAUGGCUUCUGUAAAGGGUAUCGUAAUGUUUAGUUGCUUCAGAAGUUCAACAAAUUUCCUAAAUUGACUCGCAGUUUUAGAACUUGUGAGUCAUAAGAAAUUUGGCAUAGGAGGGCAUUUGUGUGAUGGCUUCUGUAAAGGGUAUCGUAAUGUUUAGUUGCUUCAGAAGUUCAACAAAUUUCCUAAAUUGACUCGCAGUUUUAGAACUUGUGAGUCUUUGAGGAUACGGAAUGGGUGGUUUAUAAGGAGGUGGAGGCACAUAAGGUGUUUCUUUAUCUUCGGCCUCUCGGGUAUUAUCUUCUGUUUCCUUUGGUUCAUUCACCUACUCAGUUGAGGUUUUAUCUGGUUUUUGGUACAUGGCAGGGUUUUGGAGUCUUGGAUCCACGGGUCCGUCUAUUUCUUUUCCAAUCCUCAGUAUAACGACAUUUGCGUGUCCUUUUGGAUUAGGUUGCGGCUGUCCAGGAAAUGUUCCAGCUGGAGCGGCUGUAGAUGCUUGAUGUUGAGCCACUUGUGAAAUCUGUGUUUCAAGCAUUUUAUUGUGGGCGGCUAAGGCGUCUACUUUGCUCGCUAGUAUGUAUGUUUUGGUUCAAGAAGUCUUUGUUUGUAUGAGCUUGGGUAGCUAUGAAGCUUUCCAUCAUUAAUUCGAGAUUUGACUUCCUAGGCAUGUUAGGAGCAUUAUUAGCUGGCUUUUGAUAUCCAGGCGGAAUAGCUGGUGCUUGGCCAGGUGCAUACAGGACGUUGUUAUUCUUAUACGAGAAAUUAGGAUGGUUUUUCCACCCUGGAUUGUAGGUACUCGAAUAGGGAUUUCCUUGCGCGUAGUUUACUUAAUCGAUUGGGACUCUUGCUAAUAUUUGACAUUCUUGUGCAGUGUGUCCAGGGUUUCCACAUAACUCACAGUUUGGAGUUACAGCAACCACGGUGGCUGUGGGUGGUAUGGUCAAGUUAUCUAAUUUUUGAACAAGGGCAUCUACCUUGGCAUGAACAUGGUCAAGGCUACUGAUUUCGUACAUUCCACCCUUUGUCUGGGACUUUUCCACUGGAGUUCUUUCACCUCCCCAUUGGCAAUGGUUUUGGGCCAUGUUUUUAAUGAGUUGAUAAGCUUCGUUGUAUGGCUUGUCCAUAAGUGCAACGCCCGCGGCAACGUCUACUGUCAAUCUUGUGUUAUAUAGAAGCCCAUUGUAAAAUGUGUGAAUGAUCACCCAGUCUUCGAGACCGUGAUGUGGAAAUAUCCUCAUCAUGUCCUUGUAUCUCUCCCACGCUUCGUAGAGAGAUUCUAUAUCUUUUUGUCGGAAUCUGUUGAUUUGAGCUCUCAACAUAGCAGUUUUGCUCGGCGGAAAAUAUCGGGAUAAGAAAACGUUCUUCAGUUCUUCCCAUGUUGUGACUGAGUUGGAGGGCAAGGAUUGCAACCAAGCCCAAGCUCUGUCUCUUAGUGAGAAAGGAAAGAGGCGCAGUCUUAUCGCAUCUUGAGAUACACCAUUCGCCUUUACAGUAUUUGCGAAUUGCACAAACUUGGUCAGGUGUUCAUUAGGAUCGUCUGUAGGAUUUCCAGCAAAUUGAUGUUGUUGGACGAUUGAUAAUAGUGAGGGUUUCAGCUCGAAAUCGUUUCGAUUGAUAGCGGGGGCAGCAAUGUUGUUGUGAGGUUCUUGUUGAGACGGGGUAACGUAGAAUUUAAGAGGACGAUCCUGUGGUCCUUCUUCAACCAUGGUUGGUUUUUCUUCUGGUUUAGGAGGAGAGAAAAUAUCGGGAAUAUCGUACUUUUGUUGAUAUUCGUGUAUUCGGCGCCUUACGGAUAAGAAACGCUCUAAUUCUGGGACUGGUGGUGCUAAGUUAUCGCCUUGUGAACGAGUACUUGGCAUACAAUCGGGGGAAUUAAGGGAGAGUAAAUUAGUUUUUAUUUUUACCUUAGUCUAUACCGUGCAACGAAAGAAUCGCACUAUUCGACUAAAACAGGUCCCCGACAACGGCGCCAAAAACUUGAUGCUUGAUCUGGCUAUAUAUAAAAUAUAGUCUAUCGGGUACUUGACUGCAAGUGCACAGUCCAGUCGCUUUAGUUUUAAAAGAUAUUGAUCCCACAGGGACCUAUGGUCAAACUAGUGUUACUAACGUCACUAUGUUUAGCUAGGAAUGAUUAGUAGAAGUUCGGGUGCAGAAUAUUAAAUCUAAGGAAAUUUAGUUUUAAGAAAGAAUUGAUGGAAGGAAAUAGUAUGCAACGCAUUAAUUGUCAGGGAUUCGAUAAGUCACCGGUGAAUAGUUUAAAUGCCAAAUAUCUCUCAGUAGAAAAUAUUUAUUUAAAAAGCUUUAUCUCACACUCUCAUGAUUGUUGAUUCGGCCUAUAGCUUUAAGUCAGAAUGUACGCUCUCGCUGUCCAUUUGAAGUUAAAAUUACUUUUUGAAAUAAAUAAGUUCUAAUUGCUUUUAAAGGCUCCUCUGUUUUAAACUCAAUGCCUAAUUUUACUAUCCAGCUCGAGCCUCACGCUCUCGCGAUUGUUGGUUCUCACCUUAGUUAAUUUCCCACUCUCGUGGCAAAAUCGUAUUAAAUAGCUUCUCACGCUUUUGUGAUAAAGUUAAUUAAAUUUAGAUUAAAACUUCAGCCUAAAGAUUGUUUGAGAAAAGGGGGAGAGUUUUCAUCACCCGAUUAUUAUUAAAUCCCAUCUAAUUAAAUUGCUACAUACCGAUACCGGUAAUUUAGCCGGACAUGUUAAAUAAGGCAAACACAGAGCAUAAACAGAUCAACAUUGCGACAAACAUAAUUAUAAUAAUAACUGGGCAAUAAUAAUAAUAAUCUAAUAAAAACUUGGGAAUCGAAGUAACAGAGUAUAACGAAUCUCGGAGUACUUGAGCAGUCCUCCACAAGUCGGUAGGCUUCUGCUUCUUCAAUACAAAUUUCUUACUAAUUUAAAUAAAGUGUAGUAGUUCCUCAGUGUAGGAAACUACUACUAUGGCUAACUGGAAAACAGGAAGGAAAAGAGAAAACGAGAAUUCUAAAAAAAAAUGGCAAAUGAACUAAGGCAACGGAAACAAAGUUGCUGAAAAGAAAAUAACUAAAAAGCUAGAAUGUUGUAAAAAUUAAUUGCAGAGCGUAAGUGUAGAUGUUCCAUUUUUUCCAACUUUGGUCCUUUAUAUAUUGCCUUGGUAGGUCUUGGCGGUUGAGAAAUUUAAGGAAGACUGGUUGAAUGAGGAUUCCACGGGGGAGUCUUGCUGUUGGAGAGAAUUUAGGCACGUUUGGGUGCCUCUGGCUGAAUGUUUCAAAGCGUAAAAUCUGGCCGUAUGACGUUCGUCAUGGGCCUGUGAUGGUCGUCACAGGCUGGAUUGUGACGGUCGUCAUGAAGCUUAUGACGGUCGUCACAACAAUAAUUUCUGCAUUCUGGUUUUCUGCUUUCUCAUGUGCUUUCUCAUUUGUUUCUUCUUCUUUUUCUUCCUUUUCUUCAUUUUGCUCAUUAAUGCUUGGAGAUUUAAAUACCUUCAAAAACAACUCGAACACUUGCGGAAUAAUCAGAAUAUUAAUCAAAGUGGUAUGAUCUUUGAGAGUAAAUCAAGGCAAAUAUCUGACGUAUUUUCGCAUUAUCAGUUUUAUAGGGGAAUUAGUGGGGGUUUGGAUUGGUGAAAUACGUGUGUAAGACAAAGAUCAAGCAUGUGAACGUAUGAUGGAAAUCGUGUGACUUUAGAUAUUUUCUGAAUUUGGUUAAUCUAGCGUGUGAUGGAGAGAAAUUGUGAGUGAUUAUGGUGAGCUGGAAUUGAGAGGUGGAAGGUGAGAAUAUCUCUUCCUGAUUUUGUGGAAAGGAUCCUUAUUUGAAAGAUUGUGUGGAAUAUUUUGAAUGAAUUCUUGUUUUGCUCUUGAUGAUUUCCAAAAUGAUGUAUAAAUGUAUGUGUAAAUGUGACUAGUGGUGGUCCCAACUUCUUGCCCUAUGAUCAUGUAUGGUAUGGUUGUUGAUGCAUUGCAGCUUACUUAUGUGAAUGAUUCCAUUGGAUUUUCUUCUUUUGAUGUCAUGUUGCUUAUGAUAUGAUGAUGAUGUUUACGAUCCUAUUGCAUUAUUCAUUUUUGUUUGGCUGAAUUAUGAUGGAUAUGUAUUGAUGAUGAUAUUGUGUGAUGCCUUUCACUUCAUUAAUUCCAUGUUGGUUUUGUUUGACUCAUUUGGCUCAUGUAAUGCGGGGUACCUGGACUGUGUUGUGAUGGUAUGAAGAUAAUAGAUGGGCAUGAUUAUGGAUGUUGCAGUAAGGUGAAAAUGUUAACAUGUUGAAGGAAACCGUGUGGGCCAACUUGGAGUCCAUUUUUCUCUCUUUUUUGUUGUUGUUUUAUACCAUGUAAAAAAUGUAAAAUCAAACUUCUUUGUGUAUUUGUACUUUUCAAAAGAUGAUGUAAUAUAUGUUUAUGAGAAAAUGUUCUUUUUUUGUGUUUGACAUUUUUUAUCAAUAUGAUGUAAAAGUAACUUAUUUUAAC
RNAcentral lists this long non-coding RNA (15183 nucleotides) under Lathyrus oleraceus (garden pea). Its description in RNAcentral is "Pisum sativum (pea) long non-coding RNA (PSAT_LNC038433)". The stretch from base 11956 to 12062 matches the Rfam family "Plant small nucleolar RNA R71". Lineage: Eukaryota; Viridiplantae; Streptophyta; Magnoliopsida; Fabales; Fabaceae. The record is from RNAcentral.